Molecule: non-coding RNA, 144 nt
Organism: Helianthus annuus (common sunflower)
Lineage: Eukaryota; Viridiplantae; Streptophyta; Magnoliopsida; Asterales; Asteraceae
Source: Rfam
GGUUCGAUGCCACGUCGGCGGUAGAUAAAGGUUCAAUGACCGACGAUGCUAUGAUUGAACCGAUAUCAAGUUUCGCAUUUUAUAGGAACCUGUGAACUGAUAUGUUUUCGUUCAUUCACAGAGCCGGUUUUUGUGAUUACAUCU